RNAcentral lists this ribosomal RNA (484 nucleotides) under uncultured bacterium. Its description in RNAcentral is "partial 16S ribosomal RNA". It matches the Rfam family "Bacterial small subunit ribosomal RNA", at positions 30 to 507 of the family's 1533-position model. The record is from RNAcentral.
AUUGAACGCUGGCGGCAGGCCUUACACAUGCAAGUCGAGCGGCUGCAGGGAGCUUGCUCUUGGAUUCAGCGGCGGACGGGUGAGUAAUGCCUAGGAAUCUGCCUGGUAGUGGGGGAUAACGUCCGGAAACGGGCGCUAAUACCGCAUACGACCUGAGGGAGAAAGCGGGGGAUCUUCGGACCUCACGCUAUCAGAUGAGCCUAUGUCGGAUUAGCUAGUUGGUGGGGUAAAGGCCUACCAAGGCGACGAUCCGUAACUGGUCUGAGAGGAUGAUCAGUCACACUGGAACUGAGACACGGUCCAGACUCCUACGGGAGGCAGCAGUGGGGAAUAUUGGACAAUGGGCGAAAGCCUGAUCCAGCCAUGCCGCGUGUGUGAAGAAGGUCUUCGGAUUGUAAAGCACUUUAAGUGGGGAGGAAAGGCAGUAAGUUAAUACCUUGCUGUGUUGACGGUACCAACAGAAUAAGCACCGGCUAACUUCGUG